UACGUAGGGGGCAAGCGUUAUCCGGAUUUACUGGGUGUAAAGGGAGCGUAGACGGCGCGGCAAGUCUGAAGUGAAAGGCAGGGGCUUAACCCCUGAACUGCUUUGGAAACUGCCAUGCUAGAGUGCUGGAGAGGUAAGUGGAAUUCCUAGUGUAGCGGCGAAAUGCGUAGAUAUUAGGAGGAACACCAGUGGCGAAGGCGGCUUACUGGACAGUAACUGACGUUGAGGCUCGAAAGCGUGGGGAGCAAACAGG
This 253-nucleotide ribosomal RNA is filed under the name uncultured bacterium. RNAcentral's name for it is "partial 16S ribosomal RNA". It matches the Rfam family "Bacterial small subunit ribosomal RNA", at positions 524 to 776 of the family's 1533-position model. The record is from RNAcentral.